RNAcentral lists this ribosomal RNA (275 nucleotides) under uncultured bacterium. RNAcentral describes it as "partial 16S ribosomal RNA". It matches the Rfam family "Bacterial small subunit ribosomal RNA", at positions 338 to 612 of the family's 1533-position model. The record is from RNAcentral.
CCUACGGGGGGCUGCAGUAAGGAAUAUUGCGCAAUGGACGAAAGUCUGACGCAGCAACGCCGCGUGCAGGAUGAAGGCCCUCUGGGUUGUAAACUGCUGUAGCAGGGGAAUACUGCCCACCUCGGGUGGGAGAGAAUGUACCCUGAAAGUAAGCGCCGGCUAACUACGUGCCAGCAGCCGCGGUAAUACGUAGGGCGCAAGCGUUGUCCGGAUUCACUGGGUGUAAAGGGUGCGCAGGCGGAUUCGUUAGUCAGAGGUGAAAUCUUACGGCUUAA